GCUGGGCGUGGUGGCUCAUGCCUGUAAUCCCAGCACUUUAGGAGGCUGAGGUGGGUGGAUCACCUGAGGUCAGGAGUUCGAGACCAGCCUGGCCAACAUGGUGAAACCCCAACUCUA
Pongo abelii (Sumatran orangutan) is the source of this 117-nucleotide unclassified non-coding RNA. It matches the Rfam family "Metazoan signal recognition particle RNA". From Rfam's summary of the family: The signal recognition particle (SRP) is a universally conserved ribonucleoprotein. It is involved in the co-translational targeting of proteins to membranes. The record is from Ensembl. NCBI's taxonomy places the organism in Eukaryota, Metazoa, Chordata, Mammalia, Primates, Hominidae.